Long non-coding RNA from Clupea harengus (Atlantic herring), 1085 nucleotides. NCBI's taxonomy places the organism in Eukaryota, Metazoa, Chordata, Actinopteri, Clupeiformes, Clupeidae. The record is from Ensembl.
GGCCUAUCUGGGAUUUCUGACAAAAGACCGGCAGGGGUCACCCCUCUUUCGCCUCUGUCACUCCCCCAAACCAUCUGAUCAGGCCCCUGCGCCCCGUCUCCCAGGCCAACCUUUCCCAAGGCAUGCUGGGAUGCCACAAUGGCCGUCCGUCAGCCGAUUGGUUCCGCCCUAUUAACAGCUUGUAAUCUUCUCAUCUCUGUGGCCGAGGGCCCACAUUGACGCUACAACUGCUAACAGGAUAGACUGAUGGAGCGGACACAAGCGAACGAGACCCAUCACCUCCCCCCACCCCCCAUCACGUCCUCUUUCUCUGCCUCUUUGACACAUUCUGUCCAUUUUGCAUGAAUCGCCUGGCCUGUAUUGACUGUAUUGUUUUCACUUUGCACCUGUUUUGCCACAGGGAAAGACUGGGUGAAUAUAGCCGUUGGCAUCUGUUAAUUUCUCAUUAUUUUUCUGUUAUGCACAUCUUGAGCAGGGGCUGAUCGGGCCUCUUUGGGCUGGGCCGGGCUGUUUGUUUGGUGUUGUUGUUGUUGAGCAGUCUUGCCUCAAGGUGUUUUGUGCCGUGGGAGCAGUUGGUUGGAGCAAUGUGUGCAUUACGAGCGAGACGGAAGAAAUACGGACGGUCUGGUUAUGAAUAUUGAAAAUACACGUUCUAACUCCUCGCCGCCCAACUCUUUGCUGUGACCUUCCGCAUCAGGAGAAAGACUUUCUGGAAAGAGACACACAAACAGACUAUUGUUUCUUUUUUUUUCUUCCUCUUCUUCUUCUUCUGUUGUUUCUGUUUUUUUUCUUUUUCUUCUUCUUCUGUUGUCUCUGUUUUUUUUUCUUUCUUCUUCUUCUUCUUCUGUUUCAGUGCUCCAAAUGGAGCAGCAGAAUCUCUCCCAGCUGCAUUGUACAUGUCAUUUAGAAGAAAAAUCAAACAGACUUCGCGUUAAACAAACACAGAAAGCCAGGGUGGCCAAAAAUACAUUAAAACAGAUUUGUACUUUUCUGCUGUGGACUGCUUGUACCUGUCAUAAAAGGUAACUAAAGCUCACAACAGCAGUGUAUCAUAUUUCAUAUUUCAGUUUAGACAAAAGUGGCAC